UCCGGCUCGGUUAACGGGCAGCUCUGCAGCCGAGCGGAGUGAGCCUCCUGCGGCUGAGCGGCUCGGAGAGUGGCCCGGAACGUUUUCCAUCACAACGGCUGCUCGCAGAUGGCGGCCUGGUACAGACGAGAGCGGACCGCAGCACAGCCAUCCGAGAGAAAGUAGAUCCCAGAAAUACGCCACCAGUUCCGUUCACCGACAGCAGCGUCGAACCGGGACACGGCACGUCAGCGUCCCGGGUGAAACUCUUCACAUUGAGCGCCGCUGCUGAUUAUUUCAUUUCAUAUGUUUUAUAUGAAUAAAAUAAUAAAAACUGUAAAUGUUUAUUUAUUUUUUUAUUAGUCGGAUGUACACGAAAGUAGUGCUGCAAUAAACAAACUCCUUCAGGCUUCAGAA
This is a long non-coding RNA of Austrofundulus limnaeus, 396 nucleotides long. RefSeq lists it as uncharacterized. The transcript has 2 exons. NCBI's taxonomy places the organism in Eukaryota, Metazoa, Chordata, Actinopteri, Cyprinodontiformes, Rivulidae. The record is from RefSeq and is a predicted model, not a curated record.